AUUGGUGAAAGGGAGCUCUCUUAAGUCCAAGCACAGAGAAGAAUAGGACAAAAUUUAUCUCCCGCACUGUUCACACAUUUACAGUAGUAAAAAGACAUAUUCUUUCUACUGCAAUUGAAUGAAUGAGUCAAUUGAUAAUUUGAACCCUUCACUUAUUCAUGAGUGGAUUGAAGGAAGCUCUCUUAAACUAGUAU
RNAcentral lists this microRNA precursor (194 nucleotides) under Olea europaea subsp. europaea. Lineage: Eukaryota; Viridiplantae; Streptophyta; Magnoliopsida; Lamiales; Oleaceae. The record is from RNAcentral.